This 513-nucleotide ribosomal RNA is filed under the name uncultured bacterium. Its description in RNAcentral is "partial 16S ribosomal RNA". It matches the Rfam family "Bacterial small subunit ribosomal RNA", at positions 28 to 523 of the family's 1533-position model. The record is from RNAcentral.
GACGAACGCUGGCGGCAUGCCUAAUACAUGCAAGUCGAGCGAACAGAUGAAGUGCUUGCACUUCUGACGUUAGCGGCGAACGGGUGAGUAACACGUAAGGAAUCUACCUAUAAGCGGGGGAUAACAUUCGGAAACGGGUGCUAAUACCGCAUAAUAUCUUCUUUCGCAUGGAAGAAGAUUGAAAGACGGCUCUGCUGUCACUUAUAGAUGACCUUGCGGUGCAUUAGUUAGUUGGUGGGGUAACGGCCUACCAAGACGAUGAUGCAUAGCCGACCUGAGAGGGUGAUCGGCCACAUUGGGACUGAGACACGGCCCAAACUCCUACGGGAGGCAGCAGUAGGGAAUCUUCCGCAAUGGGCGAAAGCCUGACGGAGCAAUGCCGCGUGAGUGAAGAAGGCCUUCGUGUCGUAAAACUCUGUUAUAAGAGAAGAACAAAUUGUAGAGUAACUGCUACAGUCUUGACGGUAUCUUAUCAGAAAGCCACGGCUAACUACGUGCCAGCAGCCGCCGUAA